GACUAGUAGAGUGGCGCACGGGUGAGUAACGCGUAAGUUAUCUACCCUCCCAUCUGGAAUAACUCACCGAAAGGUGUGCUAAUACCGGAUACGUUGGAAACAAGAAAGGUGGCCUCUAUUUAUAAGCUACCGUGGGGGGAUGAGCUUGCGUACCAUUAGCUAGUUGGUAGGGUAAUGGCCUACCAAGGCAACGAUGGUUAGCGGGUCUGAGAGGAUGAUCCGCCACACUGGAACUGGAACACGGACCAGACUCCUACGGGAGGCAGCAGUGAGGAAUAUUGCGCAAUGGGGGAAACCCUGACGCAGCGACGCCGCGUGGAUGAUGAAGGCCCUUGGGUCGUAAAAUCCUGUCAGAUGGAAAGAAAUGCUAUUAUGCUAAUAUCAUAGUAGUUUGACGGUACCAUCAAAGGAAGCACCGGCUAACUCCGUGCCAGCAGCCGCGGUAAUACGGAGGGUGCAAGCGUUGUUCGGAAUUACUGGGCGUAAAGCGCGCGUAGGUGGCUUUUUAA
Molecule: ribosomal RNA, 509 nt
Filed under: delta proteobacterium FM1B-B8
Lineage: Bacteria; Deltaproteobacteria
Description: bacterial SSU rRNA
Rfam family: Bacterial small subunit ribosomal RNA
Source: RNAcentral